RNAcentral lists this non-coding RNA (45 nucleotides) under Schistosoma margrebowiei. Lineage: Eukaryota; Metazoa; Platyhelminthes; Trematoda; Strigeidida; Schistosomatidae. The record is from RNAcentral.
UUCUAGCUGAAGAGUCCCAAAUAGGGUUAAACACGCGUCCUGAAU